This 327-nucleotide ribosomal RNA is filed under the name uncultured eukaryote. RNAcentral's name for it is "partial 18S ribosomal RNA". It matches the Rfam family "Eukaryotic small subunit ribosomal RNA", at positions 1470 to 1796 of the family's 1831-position model. The record is from RNAcentral.
CCCUUAGAUGUCCGGGGCCGCACGCGCGCUACAAUGGAUGAAUCAACGCGUCAUCCUGGCCCGAAAGGGUUGGGGAACCGCUGAACCUCAUCCGUGGUUGGGAUUGGGGUUUGUAAUUAUUCCCCAUGAACUAGGAAUUCCCAGUAAGCGCGAGUCAUAAGCUCGCGUUGAUUACAUCCCUGCCCUUUGUACACACCGCCCGUCGCUACUACCAAUUGGAUGGUUUAGUGAGAUCCUCGGAUUGGUCACGGCACGGUGGCAACACUGCGUCGGUGUGCCGAGAAGACGAUCAAACUUGAUCAUCUAGAGGAAGUAAAAGUCGUAACA